This is an unclassified non-coding RNA of Otolemur garnettii (small-eared galago), 110 nucleotides long. It matches the Rfam family "Y RNA". Rfam says of the family: Y RNAs are components of the Ro ribonucleoprotein particle (Ro RNP), in association with Ro60 and La proteins. The Y RNAs and Ro60 and La proteins are well conserved, but the function of the Ro RNP is not known. In humans the RNA component can be one of four small RNAs -- hY1, hY3, hY4 and hY5. Lineage: Eukaryota; Metazoa; Chordata; Mammalia; Primates; Galagidae. The record is from Ensembl.
GGCUGGUCCCAAGGUAGUGAGUUGUCUCACUUGAAGGUUCAUAAGUCAGUUAUAUAUUUAACUCUGUUCUACUCUCCCCCCUUCUCACUACGGCACUUGACUAGUCUUAG